CGCUGGCGGCAGGCCUAACACAUGCAAGUCGAGCGCACCUUCGGGUGAGCGGCGGACGGGUUAGUAACGCGUGGGAAUAUACCCAAAGGUACGGAAUAGCCUCUGGAAACGGAGAGUAAUACCGUAUGUGCCCUUCGGGGGAAAGAUUUAUCGCCUUUGGAUUAGCCCGCGUAAGAUUAGAUAGUUGGUGGGGUAAUGGCCUACCAAGUCUACGAUCUUUAGCUGGUUUGAGAGGAUGAUCAGCAACACUGGGACUGAGACACGGCCCAGACUCCUACGGGAGGCAGCAGUGGGGAAUCUUAGACAAUGGGCGCAAGCCUGAUCUAGCCAUGCCGCGUGAGUGACGAAGGCCUUAGGGUCGUAAAGCUCUUUCGCCAGAGAUGAUAAUGACAGUAUCUGGUAAAGAAACCCCGGCUAACU
Molecule: ribosomal RNA, 420 nt
Filed under: alpha proteobacterium FRA000001
Lineage: Bacteria; Pseudomonadati; Pseudomonadota; Alphaproteobacteria
Description: bacterial SSU rRNA
Rfam family: Bacterial small subunit ribosomal RNA
Source: RNAcentral